UACGAAGGGGGGCUAGCGUUGCUCGGAAUCACUGGGCGUAAAGCGCACGUAGGCGGAUUGUUAAGUCAGGGGUGAAAUCCUGGAGCUCAACUCCAGAACUGCCUUUGAUACUGGCGAUCUUGAGUCCGGGAGAGGUGAGUGGAACUGCGAGUGUAGAGGUGAAAUUCGUAGAUAUUCGCAAGAACACCAGUGGCGAAGGCGGCUCACUGGCCCGGUACUGACGCUGAGGUGCGAAAGCGUGGGGAGCAAACAGG
RNAcentral lists this ribosomal RNA (254 nucleotides) under uncultured bacterium. Its description in RNAcentral is "partial 16S ribosomal RNA". It matches the Rfam family "Bacterial small subunit ribosomal RNA", at positions 524 to 776 of the family's 1533-position model. The record is from RNAcentral.